Molecule: ribosomal RNA, 501 nt
Filed under: uncultured bacterium
Lineage: Bacteria
Description: partial 16S ribosomal RNA
Rfam family: Bacterial small subunit ribosomal RNA
Source: RNAcentral
AUUGAACGCUGGCGGCAGGCUUAACACAUGCAAGUCGAGCGGGGGAAGGUAGCUUGCUACCGGACCUAGCGGCGGACGGGUGAGUAAUGCUUAGGAAUCUGCCUAUUAGUGGGGGACGACAUCUCGAAAGGGAUGCUAAUACCGCAUACGUCCUACGGGAGAAAGCAGGGGAUCUUCGGACCUUGCGCUAAUAGAUGAGCAUAAGUCGGAUUAGCUAGUUGGUGGGGUAAAGGCCUACCAAGGCGACGAUCUGUAGCGGGUCUGAGAGGAUGAUCCGCCACACUGGGACUGAGACACGGCCCAGACUCCUACGGGAGGCAGCAGUGGGGAAUAUUGGACAAUGGGGGGAACCCUGAUCCAGCCAUGCCGCGUGUGUGAAGAAGGCCUUAUGGUUGUAAAGCACUUUAAGCGAGGAGGAGGCUACUUUAGUUAAUACCUAGAGAUAGUGGACGUUACUCGCAGAAUAAGCACCGGCUAACUCUGUGCCAGCAGCCGCGGUAA